This 471-nucleotide ribosomal RNA is filed under the name uncultured bacterium. RNAcentral's name for it is "SSU rRNA". It matches the Rfam family "Bacterial small subunit ribosomal RNA", at positions 26 to 518 of the family's 1533-position model. The record is from RNAcentral.
AGGAUGAACGCUGGCGGCGUGCCUAACACAUGCAAGUCGAACGUCCUGUCUCGCAAGAGGCAGGGAGUGGCGGACGGGUGAGUACCACGUGGGUCAUCUACCGUGAGGUGAGGAAUACCGGCGAGAAAUCGCCGACAAGACCGCAUAGGCUCGAUGCAAGUCGAGCAAAGCUCUUUCGAGAGAGGGAGCGCCACACGAGGAGCCUGCGCCCGAUUAGCUAGCUGGUGGAGUAACGGUUCACCAGGGCGACGAUCGGUAGCUGGUCUGAGAGGACGAUCAGCCACACUGGGAUUGAGAACGGCCCAGACUCCUACGGGGGGCAGCAGUGAGGAAUUUUCGUCAAUGGGGGCAACCCUGAACGAGCAACGCCGCGUGCAGGAAGAAGGUUUUCGGAUCGUAAACUGCUUUUCUCGGGAAGAGAACGGACGGUACCCGAGGAAUCAGCCCGGCUAACUACGUGCCAGCAGCCGC